Long non-coding RNA from Papaver somniferum (opium poppy), 1956 nucleotides. RefSeq lists it as uncharacterized. Lineage: Eukaryota; Viridiplantae; Streptophyta; Magnoliopsida; Ranunculales; Papaveraceae. The transcript is spliced from 4 exons. The record is from RefSeq and is a predicted model, not a curated record.
UUUCAUCACACCAUGGUUCUUCACGUGAGAAAUAAACCUAAGUGAAGAUUUUAGAAAUUUCUCUUUUUCAUCUUCAUCGACACCCUAAACUUAAACGCUCUUUUCAUCGGCGGCACCCUCCCCCUGAUCUUCUUCUCUCCCUUUUAUCCUUUUUGAUCCCUAAGUCUUCUUUGAGUGUGAUUUUUAGGUAUAAUUGACCAACUACUUUGUUUUGUUUGUUGCAGAAUUUAAUGAAAUUCAAGGGUUUGUAGUCGCUGUUGGGUGAAUGAAUUGAACAGGGAACUGAAUUUCCUCCAUGAAAUAGGUUGAGGAAGAAUUGGUUUCUCAAAAUUAGGGUUCUGAUUUUUCUUUUACAGAAGUAGGUAGAUAUGUACAUAUUACUGAAUUAAGGUUUGUAGAUAGAAUAUAAUCAUGUCCACUACAGGUACUGUAUCUGUUCAGUUCCACCCAAUUGCUAAAAUUUGUGGUUCUGAAAAUGAUAAUUCAGUGUGAUACAUCCAUAAUUGGAGUUUCCAAGGAGCAAAUUUCUCAGAUUCAAUCUUUGCUCAACCGAUAAUACUCGCAAGGGAUGUAUUGGGAGAGUAAGUGAUGUACCAGAAGAUGAAGAUUUUUUUUUUGGGAGAAAGCGUUAACGCCUUUACUUCAUAUGGUUGAGACUCCGGCGCAUUUGAAGAAUUUGUCUAUCAAGGUUUUGGUUUAUGAAUUUUUAGAAUUUUUAAGUCUGGAGCUAUGUAGGUUAAAGUUCUUUUACUAACUAGAGAUGAUUACGAUGUAUGAGUUAAAACAAUUAGCUGAUGAGAUCCGUUCAGAGUUAUCUUUUAUAACGUCGAAGAUGCCUCGACACUUCAAAGCCAGUCUAGCAACAGUGGAGCUGACCGUUGUGUUACAUCAUGUUUUUGAUUCUCCAACGAAUAAGAUAUUGUGGGAUGUGGGUCAAUAGGAUUUGAGUUGGGUUUGUAUGGAUAGCAACAUGGCCUGAACUGGUCAUGAUAUCAUGACAAUGCAUCUAUGUAUAAGGUAUGGUCCCUUUUAGCACGCUGGUCACUUAAUGAUAUCACGAGCUCGCACUUUGAAUGGCGGGAGUUCCAAUACCUCGCGUAUAGCCUUAUAGCUAAGCAAUAACAUCUUUCGUACUUUAAUUAUUUCAAGAUAUGUAAAUGUGAUAUGUUGUAAUGAGAAGACAGCUCAUAUGCGCAAUAACAAGUCAUCCUUAACUAAUUUGCUUAUAUCUCCAUAUUUAAAAGUACGAGACAUGUCGAGACCAGCGUGAAAAUCCUAAGUUGCUUAAAUGUAGCUGAUCGGUUUCUAGAAAAACUUCAAUCACUGAAUUGUAAGUUGGACACAAUGACUUCUUGGUUAGACUCAUUUUUUACUUUCAUUUAGUCUUAAUUGAUUCAUAUUUUUUGGCGAAAAACAAAAAGGUUACUUUAUUCUAUUUAAAUGACAUAUGCUUAAAUGAGUUCUAGGGUAGAUCUUAGGUAUAAUGUUAUCAUUGUUGGAGUACUUUGACUCUUAGAAGUUAGAACUUGGAUUCAAUUUUUUUUACUGGAAAUCAUAUUUUUCCUUACAAUCUCAUUACCUCAACUUGACAACUUUGACGCAUAAGUGCAGUUCAUUUACACAACCUGAAUGAUAUAGAUUAAUGAAGAAUCAACUCUGCAGCAAGUGAAGCAGCUUACAACAAGCAUAUCCAGUGCUCUAAGAAAAAGAUUGAGCUUGGAUUUAAAAUCAGAACGGGCCUAAUGGUUCGUGCUACGUACUAUGGAAUCAGAAAUGAUAAUUUGGGGAACAAGGAUGGAGCUGAUGCUGAAGAUAAUGAUAUUGGAAUAGAAAGUGAAAAAGCGGGGGUCUAACAAUACCACUCAAUAUUUCGCUUAGCAAUCUGUAUGGACUAACUCCGAAAUACUUUGCUAGAGAAUCAACUAGACAGUCAGACUCAAUCUAGAUUAAAGUAUC